GGGCCGGUAGUCUAGCCUGGUAGGAUGUCGCCCUUACGAGGCGAAGGUCCUCGGUUCAAAUCCGAGCCGGCCCA
This 74-nucleotide transfer RNA is filed under the name Thermoproteota archaeon. Its description in RNAcentral is "Crenarchaeota archaeon (hot springs metagenome) tRNA-Val". It matches the Rfam family "tRNA". From Rfam's summary of the family: Transfer RNA (tRNA) molecules are approximately 80 nucleotides in length. Their secondary structure includes four short double-helical elements and three loops (D, anti-codon, and T loops). Lineage: Archaea; Thermoproteati; Thermoproteota. The record is from RNAcentral.